AUUGAACGCUGGCGGCAUGCCUUACACAUGCAAAUCGAACGGUAACGGGCCUUCGGGUGCCGACGAGUGGCGAACGGGUGAGUAAUACAUCGGAACGUGCCCGAUCGUGGGGGAUAACGAGGCGAAAGCUUUGCUAAUACCGCAUACGAUCUACGGAUGAAAGCAGGGGACCGCAAGGCCUUGCGCGGACGGAGCGGCCGAUGGCAGAUUAGGUAGUUUGUGGGAUAAAAGCUUACCAAGCCGACGAUCUGUAGCUGGUCUGAGAGGAUGAUCAGCCACACUGGGACUGAGACACGGCCCAGACUCCUACGGGAGGCAGCAGUGGGGAAUUUUGGACAAUGGGCGCAAGCCUGAUCCAGCCAUGCCGCGUGCAGGAUGAAGGCCUUCGGGUUGUAAACUGAUUUUGUACGGAACGAAAAGCCUUCUUUUAAUACAGGAGGGUCAUGACGGUACCGUAAGAAUAAGCACCGGCUAACUAUGUG
This 482-nucleotide ribosomal RNA is filed under the name uncultured bacterium. RNAcentral describes it as "partial 16S ribosomal RNA". It matches the Rfam family "Bacterial small subunit ribosomal RNA", at positions 30 to 507 of the family's 1533-position model. The record is from RNAcentral.